UUAUUGCUCUUGAACGAGGAAUCCCUAGUAAGCACAAGUCACUAGCUUGUGCUGAUUACGUCCCUGCCCUUUGUACACACCGCCCGUCGCUACUACCGAUUGAAUGGCUUAGUGAGGCCUUCGGAUUGAGUUUUGGGGACUGGCAACAGAUCCUGAUUUUUAAGAAGUUGGUCAAACUUGGUCAUUUAGAGGAAGUAAAAGUCGUAACAAGGUUUCCGUAGGUGAACCUGCGGAAGGAUCAUUACCGAUUUAGUGAACCUGGUCGCUUUUGACCAAGGUCUCGCGAAACUUGUAUUUAAAACCCACACUUUUUAAUAUAAAAUUAUCGUAUCAAUUAUGAUAAAAAAAGAUCACUUUCAACAACGGAUCUCUUGGCUCUCGCAUCGAUGAAGAACGUAGCGAAGUGCGAUAAGUAAUGUGAAUUGCAGAAUUCCGUGAGUCAUCGAACCUUUGAACGCAAAUUGCACUCCCUGGUUUUCCGGGAGAGUAUGCCUGUUUGAGGGUCAGCCUAAAUAAAAUCGGCUUCGUUGCUGUGUUUUUCGCGGUAAUGCUUGUCGGAAAUUGGGUUAUCUUAAACUUGUUUAAGUAGCUUAAAAUUUUUUUACGAUUCUAAGAACGUUUCUAAGAAUAUAUUUCUUUCUUACGUUCAAGGUAUCGAAUACUAUUAGACGUGGCCGUCACAUCGGAUCUCGUCCAUAAUUUUCUCUUUUACUGACCUCAGACAGGUAAGAGUACCCGCUGAACUUAAGCAUAUCAAUAAGCGGAGGAAAAGAAAAUAACAAUGAUUCCCUUAGUAACGGCGAGUGAAGGGGGAAAAGCUCAAAUUUUAAAUCGGUCAGGUUCUACCUGUUCGAGUUGUAAUUUGAAGAAGCGUUUUCCGCGUUCGGGUUGACCCAAAUCCUUUGGGAUAAGGUAUCAUGGAGGGUGAGAAUCCCGUCCGGUUGACCUUGAAACGCUCUACGAUACGCUUUCAAAGAGUCGAGCUGUUUGGGAAUGCAGCUCAAAAUGGGAGGUAAAUUUCUCCUAAGGCCAAAUACCGGCGAGAGACCGAUAGCGAACAAGUACCGUGAGGGAAAGAUGAAAAGAACUUUGAAAAGAGAGUUAAACAGUACGUGAAAUUGUUGAAAGGGAAACGAUUGAAGCCAGUCGUUCUGACGGAAAAUCAACUUUUCGGGUGCCUAUCGUGGGUGACGUUGAGCCUCACGGUCUUCGUUGCUUGUGUUUGUUGGUACCUUUGGAGUGCACUUUUUCGUAUGGUAGGUCAACAUCGAUUUUAAUCGUCAUAAAAUGAUCGGAGGAAUGUGGCUUCGAUUUCGAUUGGAGUGUUAUAGCCUUUGGUAGAUGUGACGAUUGGGAUCGAGGAUUGCAACGAAUACCCUUUGGGCUAUCCGUCUGGCCUCUGAAAGUCGCUUGGGUGCUGAAAGCUUUGCUUAUAGUAUUCAAGUUGGCGGUCAACAGGUUAGAACGUGAUUACAUUCGUUAAGGAUGUUGACGUAAUGGCUUUAAACGACCCGUCUUGAAACACGGACCAAGGAGUCUAACAUAUGUGCGAGUGUU
This 1557-nucleotide ribosomal RNA is filed under the name uncultured Glomus. RNAcentral's name for it is "eukaryotic LSU rRNA". The stretch from base 713 to 1557 matches the Rfam family "Eukaryotic large subunit ribosomal RNA", at positions 1 to 694 of the family's 3401-position model. The record is from RNAcentral. Lineage: Eukaryota; Fungi; Glomeromycota; Glomeromycetes; Glomerales; Glomeraceae.